GCACUUCUGGGGAGUCCCACAAUAGAACGAAACGGCCGUCCAGUAU
Non-coding RNA from Schistosoma mansoni, 46 nucleotides. The record is from Rfam. Lineage: Eukaryota; Metazoa; Platyhelminthes; Trematoda; Strigeidida; Schistosomatidae.